GAAAGAGAGAGACAGUGGAGAAGAGAGAGAGAGAAAUGGACAGUGGAGAAGAGAGAAAGAGAGAGAGACAGUGGAAAAGAGAGAGAGAAACAAAGACAGUGGAAAAUAGAGAGGGAGACAGAGGCGAUGGAGAGGAGAGAGAGAGAGAGAGACACACACAGACAGAAAGACAGACAUUGGAGAAGGUAGAGAGAUACAGAGUGAAGAAGAGAGAGAAAUGGACAGUGGAGAAGAGAGAGAGAGAGAGAAAUACACAGUGGAGAAGAGAGAGAGAAAUACACAAUGGAGAAGAGAGAGAUAGAGAAAUACACAAUAAAGAAGAGAAAGAUAGGGAAAUAGAAGGAAACGAGAGAGAGACAGAGAGAGAGAGAAAUAUUGGAGAAGUGAGAGAGAGAAAGAGACAUUGGAGAUGAGAGAGAGACACAUACAUUGGAAAAGAGAGAGAGAGAGAAAUACACAGUGGAUUAGAGAAAGAUAGAGAUAGUAGAAAAGACAGACAGAAAGAAAUAGACAAUGGAGAAGAGAGAGAGAGAAAAAUAGCAGAGAAGAGAGAGAGAGAGAGAGAGAGAGAGAGAGAGAGAGAGAGAAAAUAGACAGCAGAGAAGAGAGAGAGAGAGAGAAAUAGACGGCAGGGGAAGAGAGAGAGAGAAAGAGAGAGAGAGAGAGAAAUAGACAGUUGAGAAGAGAGAGAGAGAUAUAUAAAUAGACAGUUGGGAAGAGAAACACAGAAAUAGAAAGUGGAGAAGAGACAGAGAGAGAGAGAGAGAGAGAGAGAGAGAGAGAGAGAGAAAGGGAAAUAGACAAUGGAAAAGAGAGAGAGAGACACAGACAGUGGGCAAGACAGAGAGAGAAAGAGUGGACAAGAGAGAGAGAGAAAUAGUGCAGAAGAGAGAAAGAGAAAUACACAGUGGAGAAGACAGAGAGAGACACAGAGAGUGGAGAAGAGAGAGAGAGAAAUAGACAGUUGUGAAGCAAGAGAGGGAGAGAAAUAGACAGUGGAGAAGAAAGAGAGAGAGAAAUACACAGUGAAGAUAGAUAGAGAAAUACACAAAUAAGAAGAGAGAGAUACAUACAUUGGAGAUGAGAGAGAGAUACAUACAUUGGAGAAGAGAGAGAGAAAUACACAGUUGAGUAGAGAGAGAGAGACAGAGAUAGUAGAGAAGAGAGAGAAAUAGACAGUGGAGAAGAGAGAGGGAGAGAGAGAGAGAAAUAUACAGUUGAGAAGUGAGAGAGAAAGAAAUAGUUGAAAAAAGAGAGAAAUAGUGGAGAAGAGACACAGAUGGGGGAAUAGACAAUGGAAAACAGAUAGAGAGACACAGACAGUGGAUAAGAGAGAGAGAGACACUGACAGUGGAUAAGAGAAGAGAAACACAGACAGUGGAAAAGACAGAGAGAGACACAGACAGUGGGCAAGCAGAGAGAAAUAGUGGACAAGAGAGAAAGAGAAAUAGACAGUGGAGAAGGGACAGAGAGAAGUACACAAUGGAGAACACAGAGAGAGACAUAGAGAGUAGAGAAGAGAGAGAGAGAAAUAGACAGUUGUGAAGCGAGAGAGGGAGAGAAAUAGACAUUGGAGAAGAAAGAGAGAGAGAAAUACAAAGUGGAGAAGAGAGAUGGAGAAAUACACAAAUAAGAGCGAUAGGGAAAUAGACAGGAAAGAAGAGAGAGACAGAGAAAUAUUUGAAAAGUGAGAGAGAGAGAGAGAAAGAGACAUUGGAGAUGAGAGAGAGGUACAUACAUUGGAGAAGAGAGAGAGAGAAAUACACAGUGGUGUAGAGAGAGAGAGACAGAGACAGUAGAGAAGAGAGAGAGAGAGAGAGAAAUAGACAAUGGAGAAGAGAGAGAGAGAAAUAGACAGUUGAGAAGAGAGAGAGAGAGAAAUUGACAGAGGAGAAGAAGGAGAAAGACACAGACAGUGGAAAAAAGAGAGAAAUAAAGAGACAGUGGAGAAGAGAGAGAGAGAAUAAGAGACAGUGGAGAAGAAUGAGAGAGAGAGAGAGAGACAGAGACAUUGGAGAAGAGACAAGAGAAAAAUAAAUAGUGGAGAAGAGAGAGAGAAAUAAAUAGUGGAGAAGACAGAGAGAGACACAGACAGUUGAGAAGAGAAAGAGACACACAGACAGUGGGAAAGAGAGAGAGAGAGAGAAAUAGUCCGUGGAAGAGUGAGAAAGGGAGAAAUAGACAGUGGAGGAGAGAGACAGAGACAGAGAGAGAGAGAGAGAGAGAGAGUGAGUGUGUGUGUGUGUGUCAGUCACAGACAGUGGAAAAGACAGAGAGAGACACAGACAGUGGGCAAGAGAGAGAGAGAAAUAGUGGACAGCAGAGAGAGAGAAACGGACAGUGGAGAAGACAGAGAGAAAUAGACAGUGGAGAAGGGAGAGAGAGAAAUACACAGUGGAGAAGACAGAGAGAGACACAUAGUCGAGAAGAGAAAGAGAGACACAGACAGUGGGAAAGAGAGAGAAAAAAGACCGUGGAAAAGAGAGAGAGAGAAAAGACAGUGGAGGGAGAGAGGGGGGGGGAGAAAACAGAGAGAGACAGACAGUGGAGGAGAGAGAGAGAGAGAGAGUGUGUGAGAGAGUGGGUGUGUGUGUGUGUGUGUGUGUGUGUGUGUCAGUCACAGACAGUGGUAAAGAUAGAGAGAAACACAGAAAGUGGGAAAGACAAAGAGAGAGAAAUAGACAGUGGAGAAGAAAAAGAAAGAGAUAUACAGUGAAGAAGAGACAGAGAGAAAUAGACAGUGGAGAAGAGAGAGAGAAAUAGACAGUACAGAAGAAAGAGAAAUAAACAGUGGAGAAGGGAGAGAGAGAAAGAAAAAGUGGAGAAGAAAGAGAGAGAAAUAGACAGUCGAGAAGUCAGAGAGAAACACAGUUGAGAAGAGAGAGAGAGAGACAAAGACAGUGUAAAAGAUAGAGCGAGUCACACACAGUGGAAAAGAUAGAGAGACAUAUCGACAGUGGAAAAGACUGAGAGACAGAGACAGUGAGAGAGAGAAGUAGAUAGUGGAGAAAAGAGAGAAAAAGAAAUAGACAGUGGAGAAGAAAGGGAGAGAGAGCAAAAUAUUGGAGAAGAGAGGGAGAAAUAGAGAGUGGAAAAGAGAAACACAUACAGUGGAGAAGAGAUAGAGAGAGAGCUAGACAGCUGAGAAGACCGAGAAGUCCAGAAAGUGUAAAAGAGAGAGAAACAGAAAGUGGGAAAGAGAGAGAGACACAGGCAGUAGUGGAGAGAGAGAGAGAGAGAGAGAGAGAAAUAGAGUGUAGAGAAGAGAGAGAGAGAGAGAAAUAGACACUGGAGUAGAGAAAGAAAAUUAGGGGAGAAGAGAGAGGGAGAGAGAGAGAGGAAAAGAGAGAGGGAGAGAGAGGAAAUGUAAGAGAGAGACAAAGACAGUGGAGAAGAGAGAGAGAGAAAUGGACAGUGGAGAAGAGAGAGAGAGAGAGAGAGAGUGGAGAAGAGAGAGAGAGAGAGAAAAAACAAAAAGGAGAGGAGAGAUGGGGAAAAAGAAGGAAAAGAGAGAAAAACAGAAAUGGAGAGAGAAAGAGACAUAGGAGAUGAGAGAGACAUACAUUGGAAAAGAGAGAGAAAAAUACACAGUGGAGUAGAGAGAGAGAGAGAGAGAGACAGCACAGAAGACAGACAGACAGAAAUAGAAUAUGGAGAAGAGAGGAGAGAGAAACAGUAGAAAAGAGAGAACGUGAAAUAGACAGCAGAGAAGAAGAGAGAGAUUGAAAUAUACACUAGAGGAGAAAGAGAGACACAGACAGACAGACAGUCAGUGGAGAAGACAGAGAGAGAGACAGAAAUAUACAGUGGAGAAGAAAGGGAGAGAGACAGAGAAACAUUGGAGAAGAGAGAGAGAAAAUAGAGAAUGGAAAAGAGAAACAAAUACAGUGGAGAAGAGAGAGAGCUAGACAACUGAGAAGAGAAACACACAGACAGUGGAAAAGAGAGAUAGAAUAGAGAGUAGAGAAGAGAGAGAAAACAAAAGGGAGAAGAGAG
This 3996-nucleotide long non-coding RNA is filed under the name Sarcophilus harrisii (Tasmanian devil). Its description in RNAcentral is "lncRNA (ENSSHAG00000026821.1)". The record is from RNAcentral. Lineage: Eukaryota; Metazoa; Chordata; Mammalia; Dasyuromorphia; Dasyuridae.